RNAcentral lists this ribosomal RNA (253 nucleotides) under uncultured bacterium. RNAcentral describes it as "partial 16S ribosomal RNA". It matches the Rfam family "Bacterial small subunit ribosomal RNA", at positions 524 to 776 of the family's 1533-position model. The record is from RNAcentral.
UACGAAGGGGGCUAGCGUUGUUCGAAAUUACUGGGCGUAAAGCGCACGUAGGCGGACUGUUAAGUCGGGGGUGAAAGCCCAGAGCUCAACUCUGUAAUUGCCUUCGAUACUGGCAGUCUUGAGGACGGGAGAGGUGAGUGGAAUUCCUAGUGUAGAGGUGAAAUUCGUAGAUAUUAGGAAGAACACCAGUGGGGAAGGAGGCUCACUGGCCCGUAUUUGACGCUGAGGUGCGAAAGCGUGGGGAGCAAACAGG